Molecule: unclassified non-coding RNA, 362 nt
Filed under: uncultured bacterium
Lineage: Bacteria
Description: contains 16S-23S intergenic spacer region
Source: RNAcentral
UCCCCGUUACCGGGGCAGUCUAGCUAGAAAAAUCCAACUAACUAUAAGGGUUGCGCUCGUUGAUGGACUUAACCAAACAUCUCACGACACGAGCUGACGACGGCCAUGCAUCAUCUGUCACCGAGUUCAAUAAAGCACUCUCGCCUUUCGGCAAAAUUCUCGGGAUGUCAAACCCUGGUAAGGUUCUUCGUUUAUCAUCGAAUUAAAGAACACGCUCCACCGCUUGUGCGGGUCCCCGUCAAUUCCUUUAUGUUUUAACCUUGCGGCCGUACUCCCCAGGCGGAUGACUUAACGCGUUAGCUGCGCCACCGAAACGCUAAGCGCCCCGACAGCUAGUCAUCAUCGUUUACGGCGUGGACUAC